UCCCUGUUGCCAGGGCAGUCUCCUGUGAAAAAUCCAACACAGGACGAGGGUUUCGUUCGUUCAAGGACUUAACCUCACAGCUCACGCCACGAACUGACGACGACCGUGCAAUACCUGUCUUACGGCUCCCUUGCGGGCACUCCCCCGUUUCUGGGGGAUUCCGUAGAUGUCAAGCCCGGGAUAAGGUUCCUGGGUUGCUAUCCAAUUAAACCACAUGCUCCACCGCUUGUGCGAGCCCCCGCCAAUUCCUUUGAGUUUUAGCCUUGCGGCCGUACUCCCCAGGCGGUCAACUUAACGCGUUAGCUUCGCAACCGAGAGGGUCGACUCUCCCAAUUGCUAGUUGACAUCGUUUACAGCGUGGACUAA
This 366-nucleotide unclassified non-coding RNA is filed under the name uncultured bacterium. Its description in RNAcentral is "contains 16S-23S intergenic spacer region". The record is from RNAcentral.